UACGACUACAUAUCAGGCAUAUCAAUAAGCGGAGGAAAAGAAACUAACUAGGAUUCCCUUAGUAACGGCGAGUGAAGCGGGAAGAGCUCAAAUUUGAAAUCUUCAAGGUUCUACCUUGACGAAUUGUAGUUUAAAGAAGUGUUUUCUGUUGGAGUUUUGGUAAAAGUUCUUUGGAAUAGGACAUCAUAGAGGGUGAGAAUCCCGUAUUUGACCAUUACUUCCAGCUGUUGUGAUACACUUUCAAAGAGUCGGAUUGUUUGGGAAUGCAGUCCAAAAUGGGUGGUAAAUUUCAUCUAAAGCUAAAUAUUGGCGAGAGACCGAUAGCGAACAAGUACCGUGAGGGAAAGAUGAAAAGAACUUUGAAAAGAGAGUUAAACAGUACGUGAAAUUGUCAGAAGGGAAGCGUUUGACACCAGUGUUGUUUUCUCGAAAAUCAAUUAAAAAGUAACUGGAUUUUGUAUUGUUAUGACCUUAUCAAGCUUACGUACUUUUUCCUGAUUCUUUUUAAUGCACUUUUCGUUUAACAAGUCAACAUCAGUCUCUUUUGUUGUAAAAGAGUCAUUGGAAGGUGGCUUUCCUUUCGGUAGAAAGUGUUUAUAGCCUUUGACUUCUGUAAUCGGAGAGACUUGAGGUCUGCAGCGUAGAUCCUUCUGGGAUUAGAUACUUAGAUGCUAAGUUAUAGCUUUUCAUAGACAACAUUGUUGACUAUAUUAGUCAUGUAACUUACUCGCUUAUGCCUAAUUUUACCUACGCUUAGGAUGUUGAAUCUGUGCGAGACUA
This 780-nucleotide ribosomal RNA is filed under the name uncultured Neocallimastigales. RNAcentral describes it as "partial large subunit ribosomal RNA". It matches the Rfam family "Eukaryotic large subunit ribosomal RNA", at positions 24 to 643 of the family's 3401-position model. The record is from RNAcentral. Lineage: Eukaryota; Fungi; Neocallimastigomycota; Neocallimastigomycetes; Neocallimastigales.